This 350-nucleotide unclassified non-coding RNA is filed under the name soil metagenome. RNAcentral's name for it is "partial contains 5.8S ribosomal RNA, internal transcribed spacer 2, and large subunit ribosomal RNA". The stretch from base 1 to 120 matches the Rfam family "5.8S ribosomal RNA", at positions 35 to 154 of the family's 154-position model. The record is from RNAcentral.
GAUGAAGAACGUAGCGAAGUGCGAUAAGUAAUGUGAAUUGCAGAAUUCAGUGAAUCAUCGAAUCUUUGAACGCACAUUGCGCCCGCCAGUAUUCUGGCGGGCAUGCCUGUCCGAGCGUCAUUUCAACCCUCGAACCCCUCCGGGGGGUCGGCGUUGGGGAUCGGCCCUUUACGGGGCCGGCCCCGAAAUACAGUGGCGGUCUCGCCGCAGCCUCUCCUGCGCAGUAGUUUGCACACUCGCAUCGGGAGCGCGGCGCGUCCACAGCCGUUAAACACCCCAAACUUCUGAAAUGUUGACCGCGGAUCAGGUAGGAAUACCCGCUGAACUUAAGCAUAUCAAUAAGCGGAGGA